Long non-coding RNA from Oryza sativa Japonica Group (Japanese rice), 755 nucleotides. RefSeq lists it as uncharacterized. Lineage: Eukaryota; Viridiplantae; Streptophyta; Magnoliopsida; Poales; Poaceae. The record is from RefSeq and is a predicted model, not a curated record.
UCCAACACCACUAAUCCCUAAUUCCGUCCUCUCCCUCCCACUACCCUCAGCCGCCACCAACCAGUCCAUCGUCGCAUCCUCCGUGCAAGCAGCAGCCGGCUCGCCGCCUCUGCCCCUACCUUCUCCACUCCUCUUUCUCUCAUCUUCCGCCCCAAGCUUGCACUCUCAUCCUGCCCGUCGUGGUGCGCCCGCGGUGCAUUUUGCCUCAUGUGCACUCCGAGACACUGCAACGACGGUGAAGAGGAGGAGAAGGCGGCUACAGUGACCAUGGAGAUGGUAGAUCUGGCGGUGGGCGGCUAGCAAGGUGAAGGCUAGCUAUGGGUCGAGGGCAGCAGCCAGCAAGCAAGGCGGAGGUCCGAUUUGUCGGAGCCAGCAAGACCCUUAGAAAUGGUGAUGGGUGGAAGACCAGAAGAAAACGAGGUGGAAGUUUCUUACAUGCUACUAAAAGAGUACUACUCCAUCCGUCCCAAAAUAAGUACAGUUUUAACACUUUUCAUGCUCAACGCUCGACCGUUUGUCUUAUUUGAAAAACAAUUAUGAUUAGUAUUUUUAUUGUUAUUAGAUGAUAGGAAUUCCUAGAUGAUAAUACAUGAAUAGUAAUUUAUGUGUGACUAAUAUUUGUAAUUUUUUUUUAUAAAAUUUUCAAAUAAGACAGAUGGUCAAAACGCGGGAUACGGAUAUCUAUAGCUGCACUUAUUUUGGGACGGAGGUAGUAUCAAAUUUGAAACUGACUUUACUGCUUUGGAUUUUGGACC